This 71-nucleotide transfer RNA is filed under the name Camelus bactrianus (Bactrian camel). It matches the Rfam family "tRNA". Rfam says of the family: Transfer RNA (tRNA) molecules are approximately 80 nucleotides in length. Their secondary structure includes four short double-helical elements and three loops (D, anti-codon, and T loops). Lineage: Eukaryota; Metazoa; Chordata; Mammalia; Artiodactyla; Camelidae. RNAcentral also lists the same sequence under 2 other names. The record is from Rfam by way of RNAcentral.
GUGAGUAUAGCUCAGUGGUAGAGUGCAUGCCUUGCAUCCACAAGGUCCUGGGUUCAAUCCCCAGUACUCCA